CCUACGGGGGGCUGCAGUGAGGAAUAUUGGUCAAUGGGCGCAAGCCUGAACCAGCCAAGUCGCGUGAGGGAUGACGGUCCUAUGGAUUGUAAACCUCUUUUGUCGGGGAGCAAGGCCCGCCACGUGUGGCGGGAAGGAGAGUACCCGAAGAAAAAGCAUCGGCUAACUCCGUGCCAGCAGCCGCGGUAAUACGGAGGAUGCGAGCGUUAUCCGGAUUUAUUGGGUUUAAAGGGUGCGUAGGCGGAAGGUUAAGUCAGCGGUAAAAUGUCGGUGCUCAACACCGGCCUGCCGUUGAAACUGGUCUUCUUGAGUGAGCGAGAAGUAUGCGGAAUGCGUGGUGUAGCGGUGAAAUGCAUAGAUAUCACGCAGAACUCCGAUUGCGAAGGCAGCAUACCGGCGCUCAACUGACGCUGAGGCACGAAAGCGUGGGGAUCGAACAGGAUUAGAUACCCCAGUAGUC
This 460-nucleotide ribosomal RNA is filed under the name uncultured bacterium. RNAcentral describes it as "partial 16S ribosomal RNA". It matches the Rfam family "Bacterial small subunit ribosomal RNA", at positions 338 to 795 of the family's 1533-position model. The record is from RNAcentral.